RNAcentral lists this ribosomal RNA (468 nucleotides) under uncultured bacterium. RNAcentral's name for it is "partial 16S ribosomal RNA". It matches the Rfam family "Bacterial small subunit ribosomal RNA", at positions 28 to 507 of the family's 1533-position model. The record is from RNAcentral.
GACGAACACUGGCGGCGUGCUUAACACAUGCAAGUCGAACGGAAAGGCCCUGCUUUUGUGGGGUGCUCGUGUGGCGAACGGGUGAGUAACACGUGAGUAACCUGCCCUUGACUUUGGGAUAACUUCAGGAAACUGGGGCUAAUACCGGAUAGGAGCUCCUGCUGCAUGGUGGUGGUUGGAAAGUUUCGGCGGUUGGGGAUGGUCUCGCGGCUUAUCAGCUUGUUGGUGGGGUAGUGGCUUACCAAGGCUUUGACGGGUAGCCGGCCUGAGAGGGUGACCGGCCACAUUGGGACUGAGAGACGGCCCAGACGCCUACGGUAGGCAACAGGGGGGAAUAUUGCACAAUGGGCGGAAGCCUGAUGCAGAAACGCCGCGUGCGGGAUGACCGCCUUCGGGUUGUAAACCUCUUUCGCCUGUGACGAAGCGUGAGUGACGGUAAUUGGUAAAGAAGCACCGGCUAACUACGUG